CCGGCACUGUUAUCGUUCACGGCCCGGACGUGAUCCCCGGCCCCGUGAACAGCUCUUAACAUCCCUUCACCCUCACGGGUUCCGGGCAGGAUUUGUCCCCUUGGGUUAUCGUCAAACGCAUCCUUCCCCAAGUGGAUUUGGCCCAAAUUUCCCUUGGGAAAUUAGGUCGCCUCCCCCACUGCUCGAACCCUUGACCUCCCACUUUAAGGGAAUAGUCUGGUGAGAGUGAGUACCAAUUGUUCCAAU
This 246-nucleotide long non-coding RNA is filed under the name Manihot esculenta (cassava). Its description in RNAcentral is "long non-coding RNA (MESC_LNC012650)". Lineage: Eukaryota; Viridiplantae; Streptophyta; Magnoliopsida; Malpighiales; Euphorbiaceae. The record is from RNAcentral.